CGCAGAGGGGGAGGGGAAGAGACAAAAAAGAGCCACGAACAGGGGGGACCGAGAGAGGAAAAGGCGAAAGGAAAAAUAGAGAGAUCAGGGGGGGAUUGGACUGAAAAGGGGAUGAAAAAUCAAAGAAGAAAAACGCAAACAGAACAAGGGGAAAAUUUUGGUCCAUCAACCAGCAGCACCUCGUGCUUUUACCACCAUUGUCUUCGUCUUGAACGGAGAAGACUGGACAGAGAACAAGAAAAGGGAACAAACCAGGAGAGGAGAAAAAAAAGGAGCAGCACCGAGGAGCAAAAGGGGAGAAACCAAGAACCAGGAGAACGAAGACACUGGAAACACGUACAGGGGAGUCGAGAACCAGCAAGAAAAAACCCAAAAUAGAGGAAGAACAAGAGGACAACACAGGAGCAUACAAAGGAACCGAAGCAGAGCUUUGGCUGGUCAUCCAUCACGCCUUCGUCUCCUAAAUCAGAGAGCAAGCCAGGCGAACAAACAAGGAGAAGAGCAAGAGAACAAGAAUGAAAAGACUAGAGGAAGGGAAAGCAAGAAAUAGGCUGGUCAAUCAGCACCCGCGCGCCUUCGCCUCCAGCAGACCAUCUACAAGCAUCGAGAGUUUGCCAACCAGAAAAUGAAAACGAGAGAUGGAAUGCGCCUUGGUAAAGAAAUCUGUAAUCUGCAAGGAAGAAGGACCAAAAGGAAAAGAAAUGGUGCCAUGCUUAAGAUGAUGACAAGUAAGAUGACAAUCGAUCUCAAUGUGUUUAGUUCACUUAUAAAAAACUGAGUUAUAAGCAAUCUGAAUAGAAUUAUGGUUGUUACAAUA
Populus nigra (black poplar) is the source of this 817-nucleotide long non-coding RNA. RefSeq lists it as uncharacterized. The record is from RefSeq and is a predicted model, not a curated record. NCBI's taxonomy places the organism in Eukaryota, Viridiplantae, Streptophyta, Magnoliopsida, Malpighiales, Salicaceae. The transcript is spliced from 2 exons.